GCCCCAAGGUGAGAGGGAACGGUGCUGC
This 28-nucleotide non-coding RNA is filed under the name Homo sapiens (human). The record is from RNAcentral. Lineage: Eukaryota; Metazoa; Chordata; Mammalia; Primates; Hominidae.